This 460-nucleotide ribosomal RNA is filed under the name uncultured bacterium. RNAcentral's name for it is "partial 16S ribosomal RNA". It matches the Rfam family "Bacterial small subunit ribosomal RNA", at positions 338 to 795 of the family's 1533-position model. The record is from RNAcentral.
CCUACGGGAGGCAGCAGUGAGGAAUAUUGGUCAAUGGGCUUACGCCUGAACCAGCCAAGUCGCGUGAGGGAAGACUGCCCUAUGGGUUGUAAACUUCUUUUGUCAGGGAGCAAUUGGCGCUACGUGUAGCGUUAUCGAGAGUACCUGAAGAAAAAGCAUCGGCUAACACCGUGCCAGCAGCCGCGGUAAUACGGGGGAUGCGAGGGUUAUCCGGAUUUAUGGGGUUUAAGGGGUGCGUAGGGGGAUUGCCAAGUCAGUGGUAAAAUCGCGGGGCUAAACCUCGCUCCGCCGUUGAUACUGGCGGUCUUGAGUGGGCGAGAGGUAUGCGGAAUGCGUGGUGUAGCGGUGAAAUGCAUAGAUAUCACGAAGAACUCCGAUUGCGAAGGCAGCAUACCGGCGCCCAACUGACGCUGAAGCACGAAAGCGUGGGUAUCGAACAGGAUUAGAUACCCUAGUAGUC